UAUAUAUAUAUGCAUACCAAUUUUUCUUCAAGAUACUUUUCAAUACUUAAAUUAUUUCUUAUGGCACCAGUGUGAUAGCCUUUGAUACCUUAUCAUUUAUUGUUUACUUAUUUCUGUGAGAAAUGGGUUGAAGAUUGGUUACAGCUUCUCCUACAUAGCCCUCAGAAAAACUGAAUUUACAAAUAAAUGCAACCAAUAAAAGUUGCAUUUACCAGUAAAAGAAAGGCAGGUGGACUAAGGAGGAAAAUCUGUAUAGACCAAAGGAGAUUUGGGUACAUAUUUUGGUAAUUUAAGGCAAACCUGAUAUUUUUUAGUUAUUUGGGUAAGACACUGCAUUGCCUAAUUCUGACAAUACAGAUGUGGCUUCAUAUUUUUGCUAGCAAGUGUGGGGAGAGUUGGGGGACCAAAUGUGAAUAUUGAGUCCAAUUGUUUGAAGUUCAUUUCAUUCUUUCGUCUCUUUUGCUCUUUCCUUCUUUUUUCUCUUCCUUCCUUUUUC
This 496-nucleotide long non-coding RNA is filed under the name Homo sapiens (human). RNAcentral's name for it is "HSALNT0017246". Lineage: Eukaryota; Metazoa; Chordata; Mammalia; Primates; Hominidae. The record is from RNAcentral.